RNAcentral lists this ribosomal RNA (494 nucleotides) under uncultured bacterium. RNAcentral describes it as "partial 16S ribosomal RNA". It matches the Rfam family "Bacterial small subunit ribosomal RNA", at positions 28 to 507 of the family's 1533-position model. The record is from RNAcentral.
GACGAACGCUGGCGGCGUGCUUAACACAUGCAAGUCGAACGGUGAAGCGCCUUCCUUUUUGGUGGGUGUGGAUGAGUGGCGAACGGGUGAGUAACACGUGAGUAACCUGCCCCCUUCUUCUGGAUAACCGCAUGAAAGUGUGGCUAAUACGGGAUAUUCUGGGUCUGUCGCAUGAUGGGUCUGGGAAAGAUAUUGUUUCGGUGGGGGAUGGGCUCGCGGCCUAUCAGCUUGUUGGUGGGGUGAUGGCCUACCAAGGCGGUGACGGGUAGCCGGCCUGAGAGGGUGGACGAUCACACUAGGACUGAGACACGGCCCAGACUCCGACGGGAGGCAGCAGUGGGGAAUAUUGCACAAUGGGCGCAAGCAUGAUGCAGCGACGCCGCGUGGGGGAUGGAGGCCUUCGGGUUGUGAACCUCUUUCGCCAGUGAAGCAGGCCUGCCUCGUUUGUGGGUGGGUUGACGGUAGCUGGAUAAGAAGCGCCGGCUAACUACGUG